CAACUUAAAAUAGCAGCGCUCACUCCUCCACUGGCUUUUUUAUCAGGGGUCCCAGAGGCAGUGCCCAAAGUUCCGGGCAGCAGAGCUCGUGGCCGCGCGCGGUAGGGCUGGGCUGGGUUCUGGACACCGCGCGGCAGCUCGUAGUCCUCCGGCUCCCGCCGCAGCGCUCCCAGCCCGGCCUUUCAAGCAAUCACAUGGUGCGGCAGAGACUCACCCCGACGCUUUUAAAGAGCUCUCUCCUGCACCCACCUUGGGGAGCCCAAGGGACGAACCGAGGCUCAGACUUACCCAAGGUCACCAAAGCUGGCAGAGCUCCCGGCUACCUGAGCUGUUCUGUCCAAGUGCCCCCACGCCUCGACGCCUUCAGCAGCCGCUCGCUCCAGGGAUUCCUAGGCCUGUAUUGGGCAAGGGUCCUAGGAGAGCAAAGAGAGUCAGGUUGGGGACCCCAAUGUUAUCCAGCCACAACCCAACCCGGCCUCUGGAGGCUCUUCCCCCUCAUUGGAUCACAGAAUGCAAGGAAAAGGGUUCUGCCCAGAGGAGGUGAGUACGUUGCUUCUGCUGGGGGCUGCGCUGAAUCACCCUGAGGAAUGAGGUGAGACCUGGAACCCGGGUAGCUGGGAGGCGGGGAGGAAGGGCAGCUGAGUCUUCUGAGGAGGAGGGAAAAGUCCUCUGUAGGAAAAGAUAACUUUCAUUUCUGCCUUUAGGGGGAGCAAGGAAUCAGUGCCUCAGACAACAAAAUUACAUUCCUUCCCUAGAAGCUACUUGGAGAAAUUAGGAAGUGUAAACUCUCCUUCCUCCUCAUCCCCCUCCACUUCCCCUGCUGACUUUGUCAACACACCCAGCAGCACCUGACAUUCUGCCCGCUUCUCCUGCCAGCCAGACGUGAAGGUCUUUUCCAUCAUCCCCUCUCUGUCCUUCCCUUGGCUUAAGCCAUUUCUGGCUCAAGGCUUUCUCUCUCAGUUUACACUCAGCUUCCCAACGGUCGCUCAUCUAGAUGUCAGAAGAGCCUGCGAAGACCCAGAUGGACCCAGCUUGGGGACAGGGGUGGGUGAGUGGGGUCUCCCCCUCUAACCAUGGGCAGCAUCUUCAGCUCUGAAGGGCACCUGAACACCCCCCCACCCACACACACACAUACACUCCUUCCUCCAAUUUGUCUUACGACAGGUUGCUGACAUGUAGUGGAUGCAUUUGCAUAAUGCGUGUAGGUACUUUGUUUCUCGGUUCUGGGCAAAAUAAGCCAAAAUUUUCUUCCCCUCUCUUCUCCAUCCUUCCACCCCUGCCUGUUCCCAGGCCUCAGGGAUUAGACCAGCCUAUUUGACAGCAGAACUGGGCAAGGCAGGGUCUAUUCCAGAGGGCUGCCUUGGGAGAAGCACACGGUCUCCUCAGUCCUCUGGCUUGAAACGGAGGUGGGAGGGUUGGUUCUGGGCCCACCUGUGCAGCAGGGCCAUUUGAUGUGGUGAAAAGAGCAUUUGAUCAAGAGUCAGAAGAGCUGGAGCUUGCUUCUAGUCUCUACUCUGCCACUCACUGACUGUGUGACCUCAAGCAGGUCAUUUUUCCUCUCCUGGACUCAGUUUACCCAUCUGACACCAACAGCUGGUAAGUCCAUUCCAAGGCGGGAGAGAUGGGCUGAGCUGGAGACCACAGAACUCGGUCCUUCCACCCGGAACCCUUCUAAUGGUGGGCAGAUAUCAGGGCUGAGAGGAGGGGAAGUUUGUGAUGGAGGCAAGCAGAGGGAGAGGCGAGGUCACAGGUCUAUGACCAGGAGAGGACAAUGAGGAAGGCUGUAGGCAAACAGGUGGAGCCAGAACUCUCUGGCUUUCACAAUGUGUCCAGGACCUUUUGACAAUGACCCUCCCCACACCAGGGUCCCUCACACACUGCAACCAUGCAACCCUCCAAGCUUCACCUGUCUUCAACAGCUGAGCCUUGGCUUCCCCACCUGUAACAGCGGUGUAGGAAUACACCUUGGGGUAGGAUGGUUAUGAGACCACAAUGAGCUGGCUUUUGGAAAGCACCUAGCACUGAAAUUUUAUCAAAAAGGCAAGCAGGCAGCACCAGGCCAGUGAGGGGUAGGUGUGGAAAGGGAAAGAGAAAGAGCGCGAAAUCAUGAAAUUUGCCCUGCGCAGCCAGGGAGGCUCAUAUUGGUACCAAAUCCCACGGGUACCAAGUUGAGGUGCCCUGCAAGGUGCCCAAUGCAAAGCUUCUAUUUUACAUGUGACUCCAGGGGUGAGAUAAUGCCACAGUAAGUGUAAAGACCCCCCAGGGCCCUGCUGCCUCUUGGUCUUACUUCUUUCCUUCCUAAGCCCCUAUCAUGGGUUUCUCCACUGGCCCCUUGCACCCGCAGCCUCCUCACUGUGGCCAGCGGUGGGUGGGGGAGAUGGAGGGCUGCAGGGGAGGGACUCCUGGGUGAGGGGAACUUUGCUGAGCAGCCCUGCUCUCUUCUCCCUGGAACUCUCCAAACUGGACUAGACUCCCCAGAUCAGGAAGGACUGCCCACGGAGGAUGAAGUAUCCCAGAACACCUCUCGGGAGCCCAGAAAGGAAAGCAAAAGUUGUGGAGGACUUACUAUGAAGACGCCCCCCAGGAAACGCAAGCAUGGGGGAUGCAAGCCCGGCUGGGUCGAUCUCUGCCCAGAAUCAGCUGGAGCUCCCGGUGGUGUGUCCCAGGGGUCCUGAACACGAGAGGACCAUACUGGCUGGCAGGGGCUGGGGAGGAUUCUGGAGAAAGCAACACAUAGCCUGGGCAUUGGAGGAGGCGCCGGAUGCUCUGUGCUUGCAGAGGCGGGCUGGUGGCCAGGAGGAGGACUUGGUGAGCAGAGAGGGGACGAACAGCCUGAGCAAGGGGCGUGGGAAAUUGCGAGGCAUGUUGUGGGCGAGACCAAGGGCUUGACAUGCCCCAGGCUGAGCAGCAGAGUGACAACGAGGGGCCACGUUGCUGAGGCCCCCAGGGCAGGCUGAAAGGACUGUAGUGGGUGAUGCACCCACUUAUAGGCCUCACCCACAGCAAGCCUCCGCCCAGCCCCAGAUCUGCCCUGUAGCACUGAGUGACGCCCGACCAUCCCCCACAUCUCCCUGAGCCUCAGUUCUCUUAUACAUAAAAGAAGAA
Non-coding RNA from Saimiri boliviensis boliviensis (Bolivian squirrel monkey), 3105 nucleotides. Lineage: Eukaryota; Metazoa; Chordata; Mammalia; Primates; Cebidae. The record is from RefSeq and is a predicted model, not a curated record.